UAUAUAUAUAUGCGUCUGAUCAGUAAUAGGUUUCCCUGAUUGCUACCCUUUGGCACGAUACAAUGGAGGGAAGAAUUUGUGCAGAUAUCAGUAAAAAAUAAGAAAACAAACAAAAGGAAGAUCAUCAAUUAUUGAUUAGUUUGUCUUGAGCUUUUCCUGCAGCAAGCACUGGAAGAGAAAUGGCAGCUUGUAAUUUUACAGAUAAGAGCAAUCUGUGCAUAUUGCAAAACAAAAGAAAAUAUCAAUAUGGUUAAGAGAGAAGAUACCGCCUUUGAAAAGAUAAUAAGAGAAAAGGGGGAAGGAAAGAAGGCACAGGCCAGCAAAAUAUAUACAAUGCUAAUAGAGGCCGAUGGAUGUACAAUACAGGACUUGAAAACUAUGUGGGAAACGGAGUUACAAAUCUCGGAACAAGAAAUGAGAAAUGUGGAGGAAAAUAUUGCACAAAUGGUAUCGCACACCCUGCCAAUUAGCAUACUACUAUAAAGAGGGGAGUAGUCAGUGCUGGCAUGGAUGCCACCAGAAAGGGCACUUUAUGCACAUGAUGUGGGAAUGUGAAUAUGUACAAGAUUUUUGGCAGACUAUACAAAAUGUGUCAAAUCAAAUACUAGGAAAUGAGUGGGUCAUAACAAAGGAAUUAGCGGUAUUAGGGAAAAGAGAGGAAAUGGGAAAUAAAAGGGAAAUAAAAGAAGCAAUAAUUGAAUGUGCACAAGCAGUAAUAGUAUUAGGGUGGAAAGAUAAAUCAAAAUGGACAAUAAAUAAAUGGUACCAUUAUAUGGUGGAGCAAAUGGAAUUUGAAAUUAUGAAUGUGAAAUUAAAUGAUUUAAAAAUCAAUGAAAA
Non-coding RNA from Anolis sagrei ordinatus, 837 nucleotides. The record is from RefSeq and is a predicted model, not a curated record. NCBI's taxonomy places the organism in Eukaryota, Metazoa, Chordata, Lepidosauria, Squamata, Anolidae.